AAAAAGGACCACCGGUGUCGAUCGGUGGCGGUCGACGCGACUCCACGACCGUCUCUCCUCUCUGUUUGUCCGCGUACGCUCUGCAGGCCAGUGCGCGUUCAGUAACGGGUUGCCUUCGAAACCGUGUCGCGUGUGUCACGUGCGAUCACGUGCGUGGCGAAACCGAAGUCGACGGGGAACCGCGGAACCGGGUCGGCUGCUAGUCUCUCUCUGGCUCGAGCGUCGCGAGAAGACACCGCGUCGCGGUCGUUCGGUAUCGGUUUGGCCUCGGUUCGAUCGUUCGAUCUCCCGUCGUAUUGCUGCACGUGCGAACCGCGGGAAUCGUAGCGAACGUUCGCGGUACCGUUCUCUGUUUAUCUCGGUCUCGAGGACGCUCGCGAACGCGCCGAGAGAAAGGAAAAUAGUAAGCGAAUCGCGGAAAGGACGAAAGUGAGCACGAAAGAACGGCAGCGGUACACGCAGGAUAGAUAUAAAUGAAAACAGAGAGCAGAGGGUAGAAGGGAGAGAAAGCUAGUGUUUUCGAUGGAUGGAAGAAGAGAGUGUGUUCGGUCGAUCGGUGUGUGAGUGUGCCACGGUGCGUGGCCGAAGUAGCACUGAAGUAACAACGCGGCGUUCCACUGAGUUUAUUCGUGUUAGCCGUAGCGAGGAAUUGGUCCAAAGUGCGCUCUCUCCGCGACCGUAUCAAUGACGGGGCCGCGACCUUUUGGCCACCCUGCGGUUGCUCCUCGUGCGCCGCCCCGCCAUCUCCGCCGUCGCGACGUCGUCGUAAACACACGGCCGUCCUUUUUCUCUCGUCGCGUCUCCCGUUUCGACGCAACGUGUCGUCGCGUGUCGUGACAGACGAUCAGGGUUAUCUUUGCUCCGUUAUCGCUGUAAUUCCCGGAUAACGCCGCUAAUGGGACAACCGCGUACGACAACACCGGACAGCUGUACACGUCGUGCAAGCGUUCGACUGUCAACAGGUUGCGGGACAGAUGAACCGAAACAGCCCGCGACAUAGUUUAUGGUCCAACAUUUCGUUUGAGAAGUUCGAGAAAGUCGAGGCCAUUAACUUUAGUGCAGUCUGUAUCACUGACUCUUUCAUCCUUCGUGGAUGAUUUCGCCGUGAUGCAUCGGUGGGGGUCAACCGACUCGCGUCCCGCCACGCUCGACACGACGACGAGCAGUCUGGACCCGUGACCGUUCUCUUUCAUUCUUUCACGAUUUUGUCUGCGUGUUCGAACGAGGGAAAGAACGCCUAAUCGAGUAUACACGUCCAAUUGAAACGAAAGAGCAAAGAUAAAAAGGAGUACCAAGUAUCGAAUCCUCUUUCGAAUAUGUACUAUUUUUACAGUGGGUGUAGAAAGUAUUCGUACAACUGUUCGAUUUUUAAAUACUUGAUUAAAAAAAGAAGAAAUUUACAUUAAUUUACAAGUAUAUAAUAUAUACUUAACUAGUACAUAAACGAACUAAAUUAUUAGUUAUUUCGAAGUGGGAUCUUCUUUGAUUCCUCUAUUAGAGCCAUUUUUAAAAGUACUUUACUGGAAAUUUCAUGUUUUCUAACUCGUACGGAGCAAUAAACUAAUCUGUUUACGUCACAAGCUCUACUGUAAACGGUUCGUCAUAAGAAUCGUACAAAUACUUAUUGCUUCUAUACUUUUACUCGCUUUUCGCAUUUUUUUGUUAAUUUCGCAAAUUAUAUCAACUAGUAAAUGUUGUUUGCAAAAUCAAGAAAGUACACGUUGUUUGGACUAUAUCUAUCUUAGAGACUUUCGAGAAUAUGUAAAAUAUCAUUGAUUAUAAAAAAAGAAGUUAAGAAACUACAAUUUCACGCAAAAGUCUUUCGGGAAAUUGAUCGGUGUACGAAAUACAUUCCACGCCCACUGUAUGUAAUUUCGAAUAUUUUUAUCUAAUUUCACCGUACAAUAAUAUCGGUAAACUAAAAUGUACAAGCUAAAUCAAAAUUCGCACGCUUUCUUUAGCGAUAGAAAUGCAAAAGAAUGAACCGCAAGUGGCCUAGGACUUCUCCGCGGUACUGUAUAUUGCAUUCAAUGACAGUGAACGUGUCAAUCGCGAGUUUUUCGAUCGCCGAUCGGUUUGGUUAUCUUCCUUGAAUUUUUCUAUCUAGUUCUCACGAAACACUAAUCUCUUCCUACUCGGUCUGUGCUUUGUCGUAUUCGUCUCCGACUGAUCAAAGUCGAAGCGGAUAACGAUUAACGGGCGCGAUUAUAUAACGUACGUCCUGUAUAUUAAUUAAAUACAUGCGACGAGAAGCGCGGAAUGAAGUUGAGGAGCUUUGACAUUCUGGCCUUGAAUAUACCGCGGACAUUCCACGUGCAAAGAUCAUUGGCGCCACGAGUACGCCAGUUCAAUAGCGCAAACAUCAGUGACGCCAGUGUGUUUCCAUAAUUUUAAAUUGUAGUUUUUGAUUUACUCGGAAUUCGACACGGUGUCGACUGCUUAUUAUAUAGCAUGCAUGUAUUUGUGUCACGGUGCAUAUUUAUCUUCGGAGAUUUAAGAAAUAUCGAAAAGCAAGAAACGAAAGCAAUGGUGUAUUCGGUAGAGACAACAGUUGCGCAACUGUCGAGCGAUUCUCUUAGAGAAGCGAUCAGACGAAUCAAAGCAGAGAAUUUAGUUUAUGACUAAUUUUCAUGUGAUCCUAAAGCACCGACAGAAAAGAAAAUAAUCUCUUGUGUCGCAGAAACGAAAUGGAACGUACGCCACUGAAGAGUUAGUAUCGAUUCGAACGUGCACGGAAACUUGAAACUCCAGGAAACGUAUGGGACACACGCGCAUGGGAACAUCGCCAUGGCACAUACUUUAUGCAAAUGUUGAUUAGUUUGGUAUUUCGUUGCUACCAAUUUUCAAUAUUAAUUACCGUGUAAUUUCUAAAUUACAAAGUAUUCUAUAAAAUGCCAUCGUUCGACAUCUACAUUCACGCUUUCGAAUAUCAUCCACAAUUUUUGUGAGACAGUUGGGCCUUUCGUAAAUAUAUCCGACGAGACAGAGAGAAAAGACGACUGGAAUACCGAUUUGUCUGAUUUUACUAAAAUCGAAAUUGUAACUUUGUCUCUUGUAUAACAGACAAAAACGGAAUUUUCAUUAUAAUAAAUUAAUUUCUUUAAAUUAUAUUAAAAUUAUACCUCACAUAUAAUUCCAUCUAAUUCGACCAUCUUUUUAACUGCAUCUCUUCUAAUUAUUUUAUUGAAAUUUCUUUAAAUCGAAACAAACUAAUUCCUCGUUAUAAUUAAAAGUCUUUCAUCCUUUGUUCGUUAUUCGCUAUUGUAAUCGAUAUAAAAAUUUUGCUCAUUUCCAAGAAAACUUUUAACGUUAUCGCUAUUAAACGCAUGGAAGAAGUUUCGAACGAAAUCGGCGCCGACGAAACACAUGACGAAUGACUAAUAUCUAGAUUCCCUGUCUCGGAAGAAAAAUAUUUACUUUUUCGUCGACUUAACUUAUUUUAUCACCGGUCAUUGCGAUAAUCGUAAUCACGUCGAAAUUCUUGAAACAUCGCGAUUUAUCAGUCACCGGCUCCACUUAUUUAACCGAAUAAUUUGUCUUUAAUAGUUGCUUCGUUGUACCUUCGCCAGACGGAAGACAAUAUAAAAUAGUUGACGCUAGUCUCCCUCGAACUACUUAGUUAUCAAGUAACAUCGAUUAAAAAUUUCAUUUUUUGCAAAACGUAUCGAAUGCGUUAAUUGCACUUUAAAAACAUUAGCGUCAGUAACAUUUGACGAAGCAUUUAUAAAAUGGGUAAUUGAGUACUUUUAAUAUUUGUGGAUAAUAAUUGAGUUUUCCGAGUACAGAAACUUAAUCUUGAUUGAUUGAUUUUACCGGCUUCGAGGGUAGGGUGUCUGUUUUUUUUUUUUUUUUUUACUGUAACAAAGGUGGCCAAGGUGACAAGCAUCCGAAGCAUCUGAAGCACAGAGAUGCAUUUAGAAUUCAAACAUUAUAUUCAACAAAAUAAUUGUUGUCACAUUUCCUAUCAAACAAUACAGAAAACAAAUUCGAAGAUACGAUUGUUGAGUAGCGAAAGCGAAACAAAACUUUGAAUGUUUAUCAACAUCGCUGUAUGCAAGAGAAAAAAAAGAUGCCUCACAGAUUUCUUUUAUUUUCGAUAUUCUUCUCGAAACGUUAACGACUAUGUGUAAUUGCUUCCAACGAUUGAGGCGAACGACGUUCAAAUUGCCUAAUUAGGCAACACUUCUUGCUCGUAAAAAUGUAAACGAAAACAAUUUAGUCGGGCUGUAAAGAGACGGAAUCGGGAAUUCUUGGCUGGAAUAUUGCCUUCGCGCUUCGAGGGAGGGAACGGGGAGAAGGAAACGUUAUCGUCACGUUAUCAUCACGUGCUAGUGUUAGCUAAUAACAAGCUAGAGGAUAACGAAGAAAAUUGGCACGCGUCGCGCACGCGGCCACGGUCUUACUCGAUCGAGAAAAAAAUAAAAAUAAAUUCUUCCACAGUUUAGACGUGCAAUAAAUUCUUAUGUAGAUAAAAGCCCCGAAAACAAACAAAAAGAGGAUAAAUUAUGAAUCGAUUCAAGUAAUUUUAAUUUGCCCAAUAUUAUAAUCACCGAUUCGAGCAAUCGUAUUUUAUCGUAUCGUGCGAUGAACAAAUAACGAAGUUUCGAAAAUGAAAGUAAAUGAAAAACGUUGUUAUCAACAGGUUUUAAUAGGUGGAUACGUGUAUAGGAAAGGAUGUAGGAAAACAGACAAUGUUUAAGAAAAGAAAUUUGUUCAAUAAAUACGCAACGAGUUAUGUAUUUGAGGAUAGAGUCUGGAAAGACUUUGUUAACAAAAAUAUAUAAACCGUCACAAAAUUAAACAAACGGUAAACAAUAUUUCUUACACGAUGCAACUUUUGUAUAAGGAAAUUUCAGAUGCCUCACCUUGUAUAUUGAAGUGUAAAAUGUAUACUGCACGUGAUAUGUAUACAUUUUCAGUGUUUAUCGUUUCUUUUUAUUGAAUUCUCCCCUUAAUGAGGAGGAAAUCGUAGCGAAGUCAAGUUACAAACAAUAGAAGUGAUCGUCGUGUCCAGACCGUGUGGAAGUGAUAAGGCUCGGUGAUGGCCGGAGAUUAAUGGACGCAUCAGCGUCUAAAAUUAAUCUAUUUAGAAUAUAGACCAAGAUAGAUCCAGAUUUUCCUCAUAUUUUCGCGCAUGACAACAUUACGCAACACAACUUCAACGCUUCCUAUUCUUCGGUUACAUGACGCACUCAUGUCCCCAACUGUCUACCGCUUGUUCAGACUUCUUAUCAAUUUAUCACGAAUGUUACAUCGCGAGCGAAAUCAUGCAGUUACGGCCAGUCGAGGCUAUUAUUAUCCAUUAAACGUAAUAAUCGAUGUGUCUACACAUUACGAAAUAAAUAUUUCAUCCAUCCCAAAGGAACAAAUGGCAACUCCAAGGCUUCCACUAUUCUUACAAUACUACGUAUGCCGUCAUAUAAAAUACAAGUAGCAAUAUCAGCAAAAAAUUCAAGUAUGAUUACUAGACGAGGAUUUUCGAGCGAACGUCCAUAGAAUUAAAAUUUUCAUUUGAGUUUUGCGCGAAACCUUUCAAACUACGAUUUAAUAAAUCAUCGAGGCUUAAUUCUUCGUAAAGAGGUAGAGAAUCAUCGCGCACUUUUGAAUCCAUUGCUUGUGUUGAUAACUGUUCAAACGCCUGCUGCCACGUACACCACGAAUCUUCGCCGACUGGACAAUUUUCGAGCAGUUGAUUCUCUUCCGUGGAAAUUGUAUGAAAUAUGGUAGCAAAAAAACAUUUCAAUAAUUGAAUCGACCUCCAUUUUUCCGGCUGAGCCUGCAAUGAUUCGAACUGCAUACGUAUUCGUGAUUUGCCGCCAAUUCUGCAUAGUCAGCUGUUCCUUCUUUCAAAUACCGGAAUUCACGUGACUCUACUGGGUGUACCGAAAAUGUUGGAGGUCCUUGGAAGAGGUGGUUCGGGAGGUGAUUUGAAACAACUUUUUCCUUAGCGAAAAUGUUGUAGGAGACUUCGUUGAGGAGAUAUUAACAAAUAAAGCCCGACCAAUCAGAGCGCGCGUAUACCGUUGGAGCGGCCGUGGUAGCGAAGACUACGCGCUAAGCGACCGCGCUCAUACGCUACCGCGAGCGCUCCACCAGUAUACUCGCGCUCUGAUUGGUCAGUGUUUUCCCUUAAUAUCUCCUCAACGAAGCCUCGGACAACAUUUUCGCUAAGGAAAAAGUUGUUUCAAAUCGCCUCCCGAACCACCCCUUUCAAGGUGUUACAACAUUUUUGGGACACCCUGUAUAUUCCCUUUUCACAACGAUAUCGAUUAUUUUUCCGGAGUACCAACCUAUGAGAGCCAUAACGCCAAAAAGUUAUGGGAAUCCUUUUUUGCACCAUGCGCGAAAUGUUAGCGCGCUGAUACGCGCCUUCAUUUCUACAGAUCGAAACUGCCCUUACACUUUCUACAUCGAUUUCUAACUAAUAUCGAUUCCUUAUAUAUAGAGAGAAUAUUUUAAACAAAACAAAAAACGUUUUUUGAAGCGUCGAAAGUGGCGUAACACCUUAAUUCGGUAAUAUUCGUAACAAACACUUUCGGAUUAUGUCUCGCCGCUUCGUGAAGAUUCGGGAAAGUUCGGUGUAACUCGGCUGCCAUGACAUGUGCGUCUCAAAGAAGCACGAAACCGGUGUGGGUACGUUUAAUUCGCGAAAUUAUAAAACACGUUGAAGAUAUCGUCGCCUAAAAGAGUUCAAAUUACGUGCGAUGGAUUAAAACUCGAAGUGAUUGUAUCCGGUAUUAAAUAACGAUACAAAACUUAAUAUUAUUCCCUAUUGCUGAUUAAAUGUAGCAUUUCUGUAGAAUCGAAGAUUCUUAAAUUUCAUUCGGAGCACAUGCCUUACGCGAUUGAUCUUUUAAUAGACAAUAAAAAUAUAAUAAAGCGUUUAUCUAAAUUUGCGUUGCACUUUUAAAAUCGUUUACAACGUAGAAAUAAGCACUUACAUCGUUGAGGUUUAAGAACUCGUAUCCGUAGAGCACGAUAUUUUAAAUAAAAAAAUUGUUAAUCACAAAGAGCACGAGAAGGGUACUUUUCUCUCCGUGACACACAUUUAACCGGUUAAAUUUAAAUCUCAAUUAUUUACGUACACGGUGUACAAAAGACUGGAGUCGAUGAGUAUAAAUAAUAGAUA
Long non-coding RNA from Hylaeus volcanicus, 7129 nucleotides. RefSeq lists it as uncharacterized. NCBI's taxonomy places the organism in Eukaryota, Metazoa, Arthropoda, Insecta, Hymenoptera, Colletidae. The record is from RefSeq and is a predicted model, not a curated record. The transcript is spliced from 3 exons.